This 91-nucleotide transfer RNA is filed under the name Betaproteobacteria bacterium. RNAcentral's name for it is "tRNA-Ser". It matches the Rfam family "tRNA". From Rfam's summary of the family: Transfer RNA (tRNA) molecules are approximately 80 nucleotides in length. Their secondary structure includes four short double-helical elements and three loops (D, anti-codon, and T loops). The record is from RNAcentral. Lineage: Bacteria; Pseudomonadati; Pseudomonadota; Betaproteobacteria.
GGAGAGAUGGCCGAGCGGUCUAAGGCGCACGCCUGGAAAGUGUGUAUGCGCGAUGAGCGCAUCGCGGGUUCGAAUCCCGCUCUCUCCGCCA